RNAcentral lists this unclassified non-coding RNA (1089 nucleotides) under Pomacea canaliculata. Its description in RNAcentral is "uncharacterized LOC112568213, transcript variant X3". Lineage: Eukaryota; Metazoa; Mollusca; Gastropoda; Architaenioglossa; Ampullariidae. The record is from RNAcentral.
ACUUCUCUCCUUGCAGCUCAAAUUGUUCUGUGCACUUGUUUGAAGAUGGUCAAAUUCUACAUAUACGUGAUGUUGUUUGUGAGUCUGUGGAAGUCUGCAGCCUCAUCUAAAUCAUGUGUCAAAAUAGAGGUCGUUGAAGAUUUUGCCAAAGACGGGAUUGUUGUAGUCGAACAGAAUGAUAAUGUCAGCCUUACAUUUGAUGUCAACAUUGACGCUUGUCAGAACAACACACAGAAGCUGGCAUUGUCAUCACGUGAGGGAGAGUUACCAGUCGCUGUAUGCAAGAUUAUUUUCACAAACGGGACAUGUCAUCAACACAUGGCAGGACAACCAUGUUCCUGUGUGAACAGUACCAAGCAUCGUGUUCACUUCCACCAGUCUAUCACUGGGGUGGAUUAUAAAAUCUACGAUUGGACUGCAGCAUCGAACACUUCCGUUAGAGAAAACCUAAUGGAACUUAUCUUUGUGAUUCGAACACACGCGACUGGAAACAACUGCUCGCAGAUUUUCAAUGAAAGCCAGAUGGAAAAUGAGGACAAAGGUGACUGCUACAGACACGUGGUCAUCGCAGUGACAUCGUCUGUUUUUGUUGUUGUUACUCUUGCUGUUGUUGCUGUGCCUCUUGGGUUCCUUCUUAGACGAAAAUGGCGAGAAAGAGGCAAGAAAUCCAAUGGAGUGAGACAGUAGUCAGUGGAAUAUAAACGAUGAACCAUAAUACUUAUUAACAGACAUAGAUGAGGACAGAAUGACAGAUAGAUGAUAGGCCAGAACAUCAGAAAAAGUCAUUCACCCAUCAGAGGUGAUAUACGCGUCGAAGCCGUCCCUCUUCAAAUGAAUGACACGGCGAUGAAAACAGUCGACAUUACACUACAUUACUACGUCACUUCCUGUUUGAAAACACCAGGAUGUCAGCCGAAACCAGUAACAACGAGGCCCAUCCACACAAAUAUACGGGGUCACAGAAAAUAAUUUCCUCUUCCUUUGCUUCAAGUACAUUCCUUAAGAUGAAAGAUUCUAGUUUUCUCGACAUUUUUUUUUUAAUUCAAAAGAUUGUUCUUUUGAAAUGUAACCUAAAAAUAAAAUAUAUAU